RNAcentral lists this long non-coding RNA (214 nucleotides) under Elaeis guineensis (African oil palm). RNAcentral's name for it is "long non-coding RNA (EGUI_LNC065190)". Lineage: Eukaryota; Viridiplantae; Streptophyta; Magnoliopsida; Arecales; Arecaceae. The record is from RNAcentral.
GGAAAUAUUUUUGUAACUUGACGAUGGAUGUAUUUUUUUUAACGUGGGGUCCAGGUGGGAAGCAUAGGUGUUCACCCGAGAUGCGGAAAGGAAAAAAAAUUGGCAAAAGUCCCGACGUAUACCGUGGACUGUAGUUGCUCCAUGGCAACCAGGAUCCUUUGCGGUGCGCAACCCACAACACAAAAGACCUGCGGUUUUUGAUGAUCACCAUGGA